This 68-nucleotide transfer RNA is filed under the name Takydromus sexlineatus (Asian grass lizard). RNAcentral describes it as "tRNA-Trp". It matches the Rfam family "tRNA". Rfam says of the family: Transfer RNA (tRNA) molecules are approximately 80 nucleotides in length. Their secondary structure includes four short double-helical elements and three loops (D, anti-codon, and T loops). Lineage: Eukaryota; Metazoa; Chordata; Lepidosauria; Squamata; Lacertidae. The record is from RNAcentral.
AGAAACUUAGGUUACAUUUAAACCAUAGACCUUCAAAGCCUAAAAUAGGGUAAAAACUCUAGUUUCUG